UACGUAGGGGGCCAGCGUUGCUCGGAAUUACUGGGCGUAAAGGGUUCGUAGGUGGUGCGGCAAGUUGGAAGUGAAAUCUCUGGGCUUAACCCAGAGGCUGCUUUCAAAACUGCCGUGCUCGAGUGCGAGAGAGGCCAGUGGAAUUGCAGGUGUAGCGGUGAAAUGCGUAGAUAUCUGCAGGAACACCCGUGGCGAAGGCGGCUGGCUGGAUCGCAACUGACACUGAGGAACGAAAGCUAGGGGAGCAAACAGG
Molecule: ribosomal RNA, 253 nt
Filed under: uncultured bacterium
Lineage: Bacteria
Description: partial 16S ribosomal RNA
Rfam family: Bacterial small subunit ribosomal RNA
Source: RNAcentral